Molecule: ribosomal RNA, 253 nt
Filed under: uncultured bacterium
Lineage: Bacteria
Description: partial 16S ribosomal RNA
Rfam family: Bacterial small subunit ribosomal RNA
Source: RNAcentral
UACUAGGGGUGCGAGCGUUGUCCGGAGUCACUGGGCGUAAAGGGUCCGUAGGCGGCUAUUUAAGUCAGACGUGUAAGCCCACGGCUCAACCGUGGAAUUGCGUUUGAAACUAUUUAGCUUGAGUACAGGAGAGGAAGGCGGAAUUCCCAGUGUAGCGGUGAAAUGCAUUGAUAUUGGGAAGAACACCGGUGGCGAAGGCGGCCUUCUGGUCUGAUACUGACGCUGAGAUACGAAAGCCAGGGGAGCGAACGGG